UUGGGGCUGAGCCUGAGAGGUGGUCUCUCUCUGGAUAUGUGGAUUACAGCAGUAAAUACAGACUGUUAGCCAUGGCCAUUUUCCACUGGGUGGACAAUUCCUGCCUGUGUUUCCAUUUCUGGGAGGAUACAACAAGAUGAUGCAUGAAAAAGUCCCAGGACAAGGAAGACACCAGCAAAGAUAUUGUCUAUCUGCUGUUGGUUAAAUCUGAGGAUGUAUAGCUGGGCAUCGUGGCACACACCUGUAACCCCAGCUACUCAGGAGACUGCGGCAGGAGAAUCGCUUGAGCCUGGG
Non-coding RNA from Macaca mulatta (Rhesus monkey), 294 nucleotides. NCBI's taxonomy places the organism in Eukaryota, Metazoa, Chordata, Mammalia, Primates, Cercopithecidae. The record is from RefSeq and is a predicted model, not a curated record.